This is a long non-coding RNA of Monomorium pharaonis (pharaoh ant), 1234 nucleotides long. RefSeq lists it as uncharacterized. Lineage: Eukaryota; Metazoa; Arthropoda; Insecta; Hymenoptera; Formicidae. The record is from RefSeq and is a predicted model, not a curated record. The transcript is spliced from 2 exons.
UAAAAGUGUAUUUUUUUCUUUGUCUAGUAAAUUCGUUAUUAUAUAUUCUAUAAAAUAACUAGAAAUUAAUAGAUGUAAUUGUAUUUUUAAACAGUAAUUUUUUUUUAUUUGGCUGCUAGCUAUGAGAGAAGGCAGAAGUAGUGUAGAAAAGAUAGUAUAGAAAAAAUGCACUUUUAUGAAAUAAAUAUUUAAAACGUAUUAAUUAUAUUAAUUUUAUUAUGUUAAAAAAUCGUAUGUCAUUAAAAAAAAUUUUUUUAUUCAAGAAAAAAAGUUGCUCAUCGAGACUUAAAUCCAUAAUGUCAAAAUUACGCGCUUCUUGCUGAAAGGUUCUCUUCUUUGGGUUGAUAUUGCGCUCGUAAUUUUUACUUGCGAUUUUCUUCGAACGGUUUCUUCUUUUGAACGGUUGAGUAUUGCUGAUUAUCUUUUUACUCAGUAAUACUUGACAUGAUAAUAUAUCGAUAGAAUAAGUUUCAUCCAAAUCGAUUAUCACACUCCAGUGUCUCCUUGUAAGGCUUCAUUUGGAAGCAGUCAACGAUUUGACGGCGGAUGCAUUUAUCGGCGCUUUGCAGCGUUUCGUGAAAAGAUCAGGUCACCCACAAAAGAUAUACAGAGACGACACAACUAAUUUUACAAACCGCUAACGAAUUUACCGGAUGUUGAUUUAACCAAUGUUCCUGACAAUAGAUUAAAAAGAUGGCAGUUAUCUCACAGCAUUUCUGGAAGCGAUGGAGCGUCGAGUACUUGACGUCAUUGCAAGGCAAGUGCAAAUGGACGAAACAACAAAGAAGAAAUUUGAAGAAAGAUGAUUUAGUUUUAAUUGUAAACAAAAAUGCGCCACCCUUGUAAUGGCAAAUUGGAAGAGUAAUCGAGCUUCAUCCAGGUACCGACGACGUAAUGCGAAUCGUAAGCGUAAAAACAGCCAACAAUAUUGUAAAACGAGCAAUCAUAAAAUUAUGCAAAUUAUCUAUCAAUGAGGCGAGAGACACUAAUAGAAAAAAUUAAUCAACAAUUAAUUGAUAAGCAGAAUAUAGGGAAGAAAAUCAAUCGAUUAUAUUCUCGACUUUAGUCGAAGAAAGUUAAAUCGAAUACUGACUUACAAACUAAAAAAGUUAGAGAACAAGAUCACUUCUCAAUCGGUCCUCAAGUCGUUCGCAUCUUUGAAAAACCUCCACUAACCUCGUAAUCAAUAAUUGUUAUAAUAAUUAACAAAUUAAAAUGAUUAAAUUGCAUAGAA